AAAGUCGUAACAAGGUUUCCGUAGGUGAACCUGCGGAAGGAUCAUUAUCCAUCUCAACCAGGUGCGGUCGCGGCCUCCGGGGGUUCUCUCCCGGGUGGUAAGGGUAACACCUUCACGCGCCGCAUUUCUGAACCCUUUUUAUACGAGCACCUUCGUUCUCCUUCGGUGGGGCAACCUGCCGUUGGAACCAAACAAAACCUUUUUUGCAUCUAGCAUUACCUGUUCUGAUACAAAUAAUCGUUACAACUUUCAACAAUGGAUCUCUUGGCUCUG
RNAcentral lists this unclassified non-coding RNA (273 nucleotides) under Ascomycota sp. RNAcentral's name for it is "partial contains small subunit ribosomal RNA, internal transcribed spacer 1, and 5.8S ribosomal RNA". The stretch from base 1 to 47 matches the Rfam family "Eukaryotic small subunit ribosomal RNA", at positions 1785 to 1831 of the family's 1831-position model. The record is from RNAcentral. Lineage: Eukaryota; Fungi; Ascomycota.